Molecule: ribosomal RNA, 465 nt
Filed under: Vreelandella stevensii
Lineage: Bacteria; Pseudomonadati; Pseudomonadota; Gammaproteobacteria; Oceanospirillales; Halomonadaceae
Description: partial 16S ribosomal RNA
Rfam family: Bacterial small subunit ribosomal RNA
Source: RNAcentral
CCUACGGGUGGCUGCCGUGGGGAAUAUUGGACAAUGGGGGGAACCCUGAUCCAGCCAUGCCGCGUGUGUGAAGAAUGCCCUCGGGUUGUAAAGCACUUUCAGUGAGGAAGAACGCCUGGUGGUUAAUACCCAUCAGGAAAGACAUCACUCACAGAAGAAGCACCGGCUAACUCCGUGCCAGCAGCCGCGGUAAUACGGAGGGUGCGAGCGUUAAUCGGAAUUACUGGGCGUAAAGCGCGCGUAGGUGGCUUGAUAAGCCGGUUGUGAAAGCCCCGGGCUCAACCUGGGAACGGCAUCCGGAACUGUCAAGCUAGAGUGCAGGAGAGGAAGGUAGAAUUCCCGGUGUAGCGGUGAAAUGCGUAGAGAUCGGGAGGAAUACCAGUGGCGAAGGCGGCCUUCUGGACUGACACUGACACUGAGGUGCGAAAGCGUGGGUAGCAAACAGGAUUAGAUACCCCAGUAGUC